This 1279-nucleotide ribosomal RNA is filed under the name Pyricularia oryzae. Its description in RNAcentral is "SSU rRNA". It matches the Rfam family "Eukaryotic small subunit ribosomal RNA", at positions 3 to 1292 of the family's 1831-position model. Lineage: Eukaryota; Fungi; Ascomycota; Sordariomycetes; Magnaporthales; Pyriculariaceae. The record is from RNAcentral.
CCUGGUUGAUUCUGCCAGUAGUCAUAUGCUUGUCUUAAAGAUUAAGCCAUGCAUGUCUAAGUAUAAGCAAUUAUACAGCGAAACUGCGAAUGGCUCAUUAAAUCAGUUAUCGUUUAUUUGAUAGUACCUUACUACAUGGAUAACCGUGGUAAUUCUAGAGCUAAUACAUGCUAAAAACCCCGACUUCGGAAGGGGUGUAUUUAUUAGAUUAAAAACCAAUGCCCUUCGGGGCUCACUGGUGAUUCAUGAUAACUUCUCGAAUCGCACGGCCUUGCGCCGGCGAUGGUUCAUUCAAAUUUCUGCCCUAUCAACUUUCGACGGCUGGGUCUUGGCCAGCCGUGGUGACAACGGGUAACGGAGGGUUAGGGCUCGACCCCGGAGAAAACGCCUGAGAAACGGCGUUUACAUCCAAGGAAGGCAGCAGGCGCGCAAAUUACCCAAUGCCGACACGGCGAGGUAGUGACGAGAAAUACUGAUACAGGGCUCUUUUGGGUCUUGUAAUUGGAAUGAGUACAAUUUAAAUCUCUUAACGAGGAACAAUUGGAGGGCAAGUCUGGUGCCAGCAGCCGCGGUAAUUCCAGCUCCAAUAGCGUAUAUUAAAGUUGUUGCAGUUAAAAAGCUCGUAGUUGAACCUUGGGCCUGGCUGGCCGGUCCGCCUCACCGCGUGCACUGGUCCGGCCGGGCCUUUCCCUCUGGGGAACCGCAUGCCCUUCACUGGGCGUGUCGGGGAACCAGGACUUUUACUUUGAAAAAAUUAGAGUGUUCAAAGCAGGCCUAUGCUCGAAUACAUUAGCAUGGAAUAAUAGAAUAGGACGUGUGGUUCUAUUUUGUUGGUUUCUAGGACCGCCGUAAUGAUUAAUAGGGACAGUCGGGGGCAUCAGUAUUCAAUUGUCAGAGGUGAAAUUCUUGGAUUUAUUGAAGACUAACUACUGCGAAAGCAUUUGCCAAGGAUGUUUUCAUUAAUCAGGAACGAAAGUUAGGGGAUCGAAGACGAUCAGAUACCGUCGUAGUCUUAACCAUAAACUAUGCCGACUAGGGAUCGGACGGUGUUAUUUUUUGACCCGUUCGGCACCUUACACGAAAGUACAAGUUUCUGGGUUCUGGGGGGAGUAUGGUCGCAAGGCUGAAACUUAAAGAAAUUGACGGAAGGGCACCACCAGGGGUGGAGCCUGCGGCUUAAUUUGACUCAACACGGGGAAACUCACCAGGUCCAGACAUGAAAAGGAUUGACAGAUUGAGAGCUCUUUCUUGAUUUUAUGGGUGGUGGUGCAUGGCCGUU